RNAcentral lists this ribosomal RNA (590 nucleotides) under uncultured Acidiphilium sp. RNAcentral describes it as "bacterial SSU rRNA". It matches the Rfam family "Bacterial small subunit ribosomal RNA", at positions 45 to 676 of the family's 1533-position model. Lineage: Bacteria; Pseudomonadati; Pseudomonadota; Alphaproteobacteria; Acetobacterales; Acidocellaceae. The record is from RNAcentral.
UGCCUAANCAUGCAAGUCGAACGGGCCGUAGCAAUACGGUCAGUGGCGAACGGGUGAGUAACGCGUGGGAAUCUGCCUCGAGGUACGGAAUAACCGCGGGAAACUGCGGCUAAUACCGUAUGUGGCCCAAGGGCCAAAGGAGCAAUCCGCCUUGAGAGGAGCCCGCGUCCGAUUAGCUAGUUGGCGGGGUAACGGCCCACCAAGGCGACGAUCGGUAGCUGGUCUGAGAGGAUGAUCAGCCACACUGGAACUGAGACACGGUCCAGACUCCUACGGGAGGCAGCAGUGGGGAAUAUUGGACAAUGGGGGAAACCCUGAUCCAGCAAUGCCGCGUGGGUGAUGAAGGCCUUCGGGUUGUAAAGCCCUUUUGGCGGGGACGAUGAUGACGGUACCCGCAGAAUAAGCCCCGGCUAACUUCGUGCCAGCAGCCGCGGUAAUACGAANGGGGCUAGCGUUGUUCGGAAUUACUGGGCGUAAAGGGCGCGCAAGCGGCUUUGUAAGUUGGGCGUGAAAGGCCUGGGCUUAACCCGGGAAUGGCGCUUGAGACUGCAAGGCUCGAGUACGGGAGAGGAUGGUGGAAUUCCCAGUGU